This 253-nucleotide ribosomal RNA is filed under the name uncultured bacterium. Its description in RNAcentral is "partial 16S ribosomal RNA". It matches the Rfam family "Bacterial small subunit ribosomal RNA", at positions 524 to 776 of the family's 1533-position model. The record is from RNAcentral.
UACGUAGGGUGCAAGCGUUAAUCGGAAUUACUGGGCGUAAAGCGUGCGCAGGCGGUUUUGUAAGUCAGAUGUGAAAUCCCCGGGCUUAACCUGGGAACUGCGUUUGAAACUACAAGGCUAGAGUGUGACAGAGGGGGGUGGAAUUCCACGUGUAGCAGUGAAAUUCGUAGAUAUCGGGAGGAACACCAGUGGCGAAGGCGGCGACCUGGGCCAAUACUGACGCUGAGGUGCGAAAGCGUGGGGAGCAAACAGG